RNAcentral lists this ribosomal RNA (385 nucleotides) under uncultured bacterium. RNAcentral's name for it is "bacterial SSU rRNA". It matches the Rfam family "Bacterial small subunit ribosomal RNA", at positions 28 to 411 of the family's 1533-position model. The record is from RNAcentral.
GACGAACGCUGGCGGCGUGCUUAACACAUGCAAGUCGAGCGGUAAGGCCCUUUCGGGGUACGACGAGCGGCGAACGGGUGAGUAACACGUGGGUGACCUGCCCUCCAGCUCUGGGAUAAGCCUGGGAAACCGGGGUACUAAUACCGGAUAUGACUCCAUGACGCAUGUUGUGGGGUGGAAAGCCUUGUGCGGCUGAGGAUGGGCCCGCGGCCUAUCAGCUUGUUGGUGGGGUGAUGGCCUACCAAGGCGACGACGGGUAGCCGGCCUGAGAGGGCGACCGGCCACACUGGGACUGAGACACGGCCCAGACUCCUACGGGAGGCAGCAGUGGGGAAUCUUGCGCAAUGGGCGAAAGCCUGACGCAGCGACGCCGCGUGAGGGAUGA